AGGGGCAGCAGGGGUGUAGCAAUACACUCGCUGGCGACCGGCAAACGGGUGCGGAACACGUACGCAACUUACCCAAAACUGAGGGAUAGCCCGGGGAAACCCGGAUUAAUACCUCGUAACAUAAUGAAGUGGCAUCACUUUAUUAUUAUAGCUCCGGCGGUUUUGGAUGGGCGUGCGCCUGAUUAGAUAGUUGGCGGGGUAACGGCCCACCAAGUCUGCGAUCAGUAACUGGUGUGAGAGCACGACCAGUCACACGGGCACUGAGACACGGGCCCGACUCCUACGGGAGGCAGCAGUAAGGAAUAUUGGUCAAUGGACGCAAGUCUGAACCAGCCAUGCCGCGUGAAGGAUGAAGGUCCUCUGGAUUGUAAACUUCUUUUAUAUGGGAAGAAAUUCCCGCAUUCUUGCGGGAUUGACGGUACCAUAGGAAUAAGCACCGGCUAACUCCGUGCCAGCAGCCGCGGUAAUACGGAGGGUGCAAGCGUUAUCCGGGUUCACUGGGUUUAAAGGGUGCGUAGGAGGGCAGGUAAGUCAGUGGUGAAAUCUCCAAGCUUAACUUGGAAACUGCCGUUGAUACUAUCUGUCUUGAAUACCGUGGAGGUGAGCGGAAUAUGUCAUGUAGCGGUGAAAUGCUUAGAUAUGACAUAGAACACCAAUUGCGAAGGCAGCUCGCUACACGAAUAUUGACUCUGAGGCACGAAAGCGUGGGGAUCAAACAGGAUUAGAUACCCUGGUAGUCCACGCCCUAAACGAUGGAUACUCGACAUACGCGAUACACAGUGUGUGUCUGAGCGAAAGCAUUAAGUAUCCCACCUGGGAAGUACGACC
This 828-nucleotide ribosomal RNA is filed under the name uncultured Sphingobacteriia bacterium. RNAcentral describes it as "bacterial SSU rRNA". It matches the Rfam family "Bacterial small subunit ribosomal RNA", at positions 65 to 887 of the family's 1533-position model. The record is from RNAcentral. Lineage: Bacteria; Pseudomonadati; Bacteroidota; Sphingobacteriia.